UUGGUGGCGAGUGGCGGACGGGUGAGUAAUAUAUCGGAACGUGCCCAGUAGCGGGGGAUAACUACUCGAAAGAGUGGCUAAUACCGCAUACGCCCUACGGGGGAAAGGGGGGGAUCGCAAGACCUCUCACUAUUGGAGCGGCCGAUAUCGGAUUAGCUAGUUGGUGGGGUAAAGGCUCACCAAGGCAACGAUCCGUAGCUGGUUUGAGAGGACGACCAGCCACACUGGGACUGAGACACGGCCCAGACUCCUACGGGAGGCAGCAGUGGGGAAUUUUGGACAAUGGGGGAAACCCUGAUCCAGCCAUCCCGCGUGUAUGAUGAAGGCCUUCGGGUUGUAAAGUACUUUUGGCAGAGAAGAAAAGGCAUCCCCUAAUACGGGAUGCUGCUGACGGUAUCUGCAGAAUAAGCACCGGCUAACUACGUGCCAGCAGCCGCGGUAAUACGUAGGGUGCAAGCGUUAAUCGGAAUUACUGGGCGUAAAGCGUGUGUAGGCGGUUCGGAAAGAAAGAUGUGAAAUCCCAGGGCUCAACCUUGGA
RNAcentral lists this ribosomal RNA (538 nucleotides) under Alcaligenes sp. 3T3-2. RNAcentral's name for it is "bacterial SSU rRNA". It matches the Rfam family "Bacterial small subunit ribosomal RNA", at positions 85 to 619 of the family's 1533-position model. Lineage: Bacteria; Pseudomonadati; Pseudomonadota; Betaproteobacteria; Burkholderiales; Alcaligenaceae. The record is from RNAcentral.